UUGGAGUGAAUCUGGAAGAGGGAGGCUUCUGGAUCUGCACAGCCUCAGCGAUAUCACAAUUCCAUGAAGUAAUGUCAAGGUCCCCUCCUUGUGGUACAUGGAUGGCAUCAACAUCAUUUGGUGCAUGUGGGCAAGGCAGGAACAGCCAGCUUCUCUGAACCCUCCGGGACCAUCUUCAUGGGAGCCAGUGCAUCAAAGCUGUAGUGAAUCAGCAUGUUUGUUGUCUUGUAACACACACUAACCAAUUCCACAUCCUCCACUACUACAAGUAAAUAAGCCAAACACACAGCAUAAGGUUUAAAAAUAAAAACAUGUUAAAAAUUAAAAAGCUAGAACUGAGAAAUCAGGGUCCAAUUAUGUUGAUGCAAGACAUAUUGCAGUUCAAGUCUGUGGUUCCAUGACCUCAGCCUUGAGUGGUAGCCAGAACUCUGACAAGGAAGAGAAGGAGCCAGCUAGGGGAGGAGAGCUGAUGCCAGCUGAAGAGGUGAUGGGCCCAGGUCCUGGCAGCUCGGAACCUCUGGAGUUCAAGAUCUCCAAACUGGUACCCCAGAGACAACACCUGAGCUAGAUUCAGCGUGGUGUAGUGGUUAGAGUGCUGGACUAGGACUGGGGAGACCCGAGUUCAAAUCCCCAUUCAGCCAUGGUACUUGCUGGGUGAUUCUGGGCCAGUCACUUCUCUCUCAGCCUAACCUACUUCACAGGGUUGUUGUGAAAGAGAAACUCAAGUAUGUAGUACAUCACUCUGGGCUCCUUGGAGGAAGAGCGGGAUAUAAAAUGUAACAACAACAACAACAACAACAACAGAAAUCACCAUCAGCCAAUUACAAAAAGCAGCUUUACUGGGAACAGCCUAUAUUCUGCGAUGAUAUCUAUAACAACAGCAACAACAUUGACAAUAAAAUUCUGGCAUCCCAGGUCCUUGGGAAGGACUUGAUGUCUGGAUAAAACAAACCAGUCAAUAACACCUGUCUGACUGUGUAAAAUAAUAAUAAUAAUAAUAAUAAUAAUAAUAAUAAUAAUAAUAAUAAUAAUAUAAUAUUCUGAUGAGAGAUUUGGUUAUCAGAUACACUGCAGGAAUAAUAGACUGGACCCAGGCAGAGCUAGAGGCACUAGAUCAUAAGACCAGGAAAAUCAUGACCAUCAAUCAUGCUCUGCACCCCCGCAGUGAUGUCGAUAGGCUAUACCUCCCUCGCAGCUCAGGUGGAAGAGGAAUGCUGCAAGUCCAUCAAACAGUAGAGGGAGGAGAAAAGAGGCCUUGAAGAAUAUAUCAAGGACAGUGAAGAAGAUGCACUUCAAAUGGUCAAUAACGUGAAACUAUUCAACACCAAUGAAAGAAAGCAGGCCUACAAGAAAGAACAAGUCAAGAACCGAGCAGAAAAAUGGAGAAAUAAGCCCCUGCAUGGUCAAUAUUUGCACAAUAUAAGUGGAAAAUCAGACAUCACCAAGACCUGGCAAUGGCUUAAGAAUGGCAACUUGAAGAAAGAAACAGAGGGUUUAAUACUGGCUGCGCAAGAACAGGCACUAAGAACAAAUGCAAUAAGAGCAAAAGCAGAAAAGUGAACAACAAACAGCAAGUGCCACCUUUGUAAAAAAGGAGAUGAAACAGUGGACCACCUAAUCAGCUGUUGUAAAAAGAUCACACAGACUGACUACAAACAAAGGCAUGACAAGGUAGCAGGGAUGAUACACUGGAACAUCUGCAAAAAAUACAAGCUACCUGUAGCCAAAAAUUGGUGGGACCAUAAAAUUGAAAAAGUGGUAGAAAAUGAAGAUGUAAAAAUACUAUGGGACUUCCGACUACAAACAGACAAACAUCUGCCACACAAUACACCAGAUAUAACUGUAGUUGAGAAGAAAGAAAAACAAGUGAAAAUAAUCGACAUAGCAAUAGCAGGGGAUAGCAGAAUAGAAGAAAAAGAAAUAGAAAAAAAUCACCAAAUACAAAGAUCUACAAAUUGAAAUUGAAAGGUUGUGGCAGAAAAAGACCCAAAUAAUCCCAGUGGUAAUUGGCGCCCUGGGUGCAGUUCCCAAAGACCUUGAAGAGCACCUCAACACCAUAGGGGUCACAGAAAUCACCAUCAGCCAAUUACAAAAAGCAGCUUUACUGGGAACAGCCUAUAUACUGCGACUAUAUCUAUAACAACUGACAAUAAAAUUCUGGCAUCCCAGGUCCUUGGGAAGGACUCAAUGUCUGGAUCAAACAAUAACACCUGUCUGACUGUGUAAACAAGAAAUAAUAAUAUUCUGAUGAGAGAUUUGGUGGUAGUGCCAUGUCAAUGACCAUGCAUUCCCAGUGCCCCUUGGCUGAUCCAGACAGUGCACCAGGCAGACCGGAAUUAAUGGAGAGGCAAAAGAGUGCUAGGCUCAAGGCCAGAAGAUUUUGCCAUCUGCAGCAGGAGGUGAGGGUGGGGCCUGAGAAGGGGUAGUCAGAACCAGGAGGUGUAAUGGCGCUCAGCUGAAAAUGAGUUUUGAUUGGAAAAAGUCUCUUGUCCUUGGGCUCUGUCCAGGGUCCUGAAAGACUUGUCUCCUACUGCUUUUGUUUCCAGAACUGGGACUGAACCCUACUUGAAUGUUGCCUGCCUCUCCUUUCCCUCUGCCUUAGUCUGCUUACUGGUUCUGUGACUUCCUAAACUGUCUAGGGCUCUGCCUUGCCAUGACUGGCCAUUCAGCUGGCAUAGCACUACAAUAGCAUGCAUGGUGGAGUAGCAGCAUGGACCCCUCUGCUCUUCUUUGCCGCCUAUGUGAGCCAGGACCUCCAGCCCAAUUGGCAGGGGGCCCAACUGGCAUGGUCCUCUCCCUGCCCUUUUUUGAGGGGCAUUACAUAGCAUGAACAGAUCCUCUGUGCAACUGGGCCUUUGCAGGGAGACUCCAGAACGGACAACAGUUUCUCUGCAUGGUAGAGAAAGGAGGCUUGUGUUUCUCCUGUGCUCUGAUACUUCAGUGCUGUGCCUGGUGAAUGUACUACAAUAAUGGCAGCAAAUAUUUAUAUACCACUUAUCAACAAAAGCACUCAAAGUGGUCUACAUAGAAAAAUAAAUAAUAACUGCACUGUUCAACUGCACUGGUUGCCGGUUGAGUCCCGGGUUAGGUUUAAGAUAUUAACUUUAACAUUUAAAGCUCUACACGGUAUGGGCCCUCCAUACCUCCAGGACUGCCUUGUUCAAAAUGUCCCUCGCCAGGUUCUGAGAUUGGCCACAAGUAAUACCUUGGUGAUCCUGGGUCCUUGGGAUGUUAAACUGCAAUCAACAAGAGCCAGGGCCUUCUCAGUGGUGGCCCCGGCUCUAUGGAAUGGUCUCCUGGAUAAUAUCAGAGCUCUCCAUGAUUUGUUGGCUUUCCGUAAGGCAUGCAAGAUGGAAAUGUUCCGUUGGGUGUUCGGUUGCUGAGAAAAGUUGGUCAUAGAGUGAACUGGUAAUCCAUGGUUAUUAUGUCUUGUAAUGAGUACUGUAUGGGCUUGUGGUUAUGAUGUUAUGUACGUUGUAUUUUAUAGAACUGUGUUGCUUUGUAUGUUAUCGCUUGUAAGCCACCCUGAGUCCUAUGGGAGUAAGGUGACAUCUAAAUAUAGAAAGAAAGAAAGAAAGAAAGAAAGAAAGAAAGAAAGAAAGAAAGAAAGAAAGAAAGAAAAGGUUCCUUGUCCCAAAAGGGCUCACAGGCUAAAAGAAACACAAGGUAGAAACCAGGAACAGCUGCUGGUGGGAUGUGAUGCUGGGGGUAUAUUGUAUUACUGCACAAAGAAUAUAUAUUGUAUUUUUGCACAAGGAAGGGAUCACCUCACCACAGUUUUCCAAGCAGCUGGAAGCAGGGCUAGUCCUCUUACAGGAUUUGUUUCUUUGUGGAGAGUGGUGCAAGAGCACUGGAGAUUUAUGGUGUAUUUCAAGUCAUAUGUAUAUAUUCAUAAAUAAAUAUACAAGCAGAGCACAUUGGAAGCAAGCAGACUCCAAAAGUAGUGGUACUGCUAGUCUGUAUCAGAUUCCCAAAGAGCAUCUGUACCCUAAGCAUGUUUCAGUUUUAGCCAGUUUCAGCUAAAAUGCCUCUGGCUUGCUUGUCAAGUCAUUUCCCCACUGCGCCACUAGGUGGCUGCCAUGUUUAUUUAUUAUUUAUUGAUUAAUCAAAUUUAUAUACCGCCCAAACUUUUGUCUCUGAGAGGUUAACAUAAAACAAUCAAAAACACAUAUAAAAACUUAAAACAAUUCAACAAUUCAAAAUCAGGCACAAAAUUAGAAUUGAUGAAUUUUAAAAAGUUGAAACGGCUUGGGUGAAGAGAUGGGUUUUCAGAUUUUUUUUAAAAAUUGCCAGAGAUGGGGAGGAUCGUAUCUUAGUUGGGAGUGCAUUCCACAAUCUUGGGGCAGCAACCAAGAAGGUCUGUCUCUGUGUAGCCACCAGAUGAGCUGGCAGUAAAUGGAAACAGACCUCCUCAAGUGACCUCAAUGGGCGGUGGGGCUCGUAGUGAGGAAGACGCUCUCUUAAAUACCCAAGGCCUAAGCCAUUUAGGGCUUUAUAAGUUAUAACUAGCACUUUGUAUUUUGCCCAGAAAGCUAUUGGCAGCCAGUGUAGCUCCAUCAGCAAAGGAGUAAUGUGGUCUCUCCUAGAUGACCCAGAAACCAACCUGGUUGCCGCAUUCUGAACCAACUGAAGUUUCUGGACUAUGUACAAAGGCAGCCCCACAUAGAACGCAUUACAGAAGUCAAGUCUGGAGUUUACCAACAAAUGUUUUGAGGUCAUUGAUCUCGAGAAAUGGGCGCAGCUGGCGUAUCAGCUGAAGGUUGUAGAAAGCACCCUGGGCCACCACCUUAACCUGAGAAACCAGGGAGAGGUGUGAAUCCAGAAGUACUCCCAGUCGGUGAACCUGUUCCUUUUGGGGAAAUGUGACCCCCAUCUAGAACAGGUAGGUCAAAAUAGUCUCUGGAGUUCUGACCUCACACAAUAAGUACCUCUGUCUUAUCUGGAUUCAACUUCAGUUUAUUCUCCCUCAUCCAGCCCAUUACUGCUUCCAGGCAGGCAUUUAGGGAGGAUAUGCUAGCUCCUGAAGAAGUUGAUGUGGAGAAGUAGAUCUGGGUGUAGAUCUACCCAGUAGUAAGUAGAUCAUCAACAUACUGGUAACACCCAGCUCCAAAUCCCCUGAUGAUCUCUCCCAGCAGUUUCAUGUAGAUGUUAAAAAGCAUUGGAGAGAGUAUGGACCCUUGAGGGACACCAUACUUAAGCUCAGAUUUCUAAGAGCAACAAUCUCCAAUCAACACCAUCUGGAAUCUGUCCGAGAGGAAGGAGCGGAACCACUGUAAAACAGUGCCUCCUACCCCCAACACUCUCAGACGUUAAAGAAGGAAACUAUGGUUGAUAGUAUCGAAAGCCAACAAAAGAUCCAAAAGGACCAACAGAGUCACACUUCCUCUGUCAAUUCCCAAUUGGAGAUCGCCCAUCAGCCGAACAAGGCAGUCUGCACCACAUAGCCCACCCGAAAACCAGUUUGAAAUGGGUCUACAUAAGCAGUUUCCUCCAAGACCGCCUGGAGCUGAGAGGCCACCACCCUCUCAAUUACCUUGCCCAGCCAUGGGAGGUUGGAAACAGGCCUAUAAUUGCUCAACUCUGAGGGAUCUAAUGCAGGCUUCUUUAGAAGAGGUCUAAUAAUUGCCUCCUGGAGACAAGGAAGCAUGCUGCCCUCCCUCAGAGAAGCAUUUAUGAUUUCCACCAGGCCACCUACAACAGCCUCCCUGCUAGAUAGAACAAGCCAUGUUGGACAAGGGUCAAGAGAACAAGUGGUAGGUCUCAUUGCCCCAAGCAGCUUGUCCACAUCCUCAGGAGUCACAAACUGAAACUGAUCCAGUCAAAUUGCAUAAGAGGAGUUUUUGGACACCUCCAGUUCAGACAUCAAAUUAAUUGUGGAGUCUCCAUCUAAGUCGACCCAAAUCUGAGAGGUUUUAUCUGCGAAAAAUUAUUUAAACACAUCACAGCGGGUAACUGAUGACUCCAAAUUCUGGUUCAAGGGAGAGGGGGUGGAUACUAGUCCCCUCACAACCCUGAACAACUCCACUGGACAUGAACUUGCAGAAAAGAACUGCUUCUUUGCCGCACAUAUUGCCUGAGCGUAGAUCUUUAAAUUUGUUCUAUGUCAUAAUCUGUUGGAUUCAAGUCGAGUCUUUUCCCACUUGCGCUCCAUUCACCUACCUUGCUGCUUCAGCCCCCGUAGAUCUUCCAUAUACCAAGGGGCCAGUUUUGAAGUGGGUCGGAGGGGACACUUAGGAGCAAUCAUGUCACAACUGCCCUGGUGAGCAAGUUGUUCCAAUUCUCAACCAGGGCAUCAACAGGAUCACCGGCGGAGCCAACACUGAAUUCCUCCAAGGCUUCUUGGAAUCCUACUGGAUCCAAUAACCUCUUUGGGUGAACCAUUCUAAUAGGUUGCUCACCCCUGCGGAGGUGGCAAGUGGUUGUAAGUCCAACCUUAUCCAGAUAGUGGUCCAUCCAUGACAAUGGGGAAAUGACACCACCCUGAUCAGAGUAAAAGACCAAAUCAAGUGUGUGACCUGCAAUAUGCGUCAAUCCAGAGACCGCUAUGUGAUGGAUAGACAGACAGACAGACAGACAGACAGAUAGAUAGAUAGAUAGAUAGACAGAUAGAUACCUUUGAAGUAGUUAUGGAGGGAACUUUUAGAAAAAUGGUCUUCAUGGUGUUGGAUGUUUAAACUGAGAUGGUAAGCACUUUGAGGCAGGGACCAGUACUUCAUUCAGAUUUCUCUGUUAAGCAACAUGUAUUCUUAUGGCACUAUAAUAAUGAUAAUUAAUAAUGUGUUUUAAGAGCAGGACGGAAUGGGUUUACAACUGUAUAUGGUUUGAUUCUGAUGUACACACUUUGCUCAGAUAAAGCCUAAUACCCACCUA
This is a long non-coding RNA of Hemicordylus capensis (graceful crag lizard), 6870 nucleotides long. RefSeq lists it as uncharacterized. The record is from RefSeq and is a predicted model, not a curated record. The transcript is spliced from 2 exons. Lineage: Eukaryota; Metazoa; Chordata; Lepidosauria; Squamata; Cordylidae.